UACAGAGGGUGCAAGCGUUGUUCGGAAUUACUGGGCGUAAAGGGCUCGUAGGCGGUUUGUCGCGUCGGGAGUGAAAACAUCGGGCUUAACUCGAUGCUUGCUUUCGAUACGGGCAGACUUGAGGUAUGCAGGGGAGAAUGGAAUUCCUGGUGUAGCGGUGAAAUGCGUAGAUAUCGACAGGAACGCCGGUGGCGAAAGCGGACCGCUGGCCCUCUUCUGACGCUGAGGCGCGAAAGCCAGGGGAGCGAACGGG
Molecule: ribosomal RNA, 253 nt
Filed under: uncultured bacterium
Lineage: Bacteria
Description: partial 16S ribosomal RNA
Rfam family: Bacterial small subunit ribosomal RNA
Source: RNAcentral